ACUCAAAGGAAUUGACGGGUCCCCGCACAAGCAGCGGAGCGUGUGGUUUAAUUCGAUGCUACACGAAGAACCUUACCUGGGUUUGACAUAGAGGUAGUAGGGAAGCGAAAGCGGACCGACCCUUCGGGGAGCCUCUACAGGUGUUGCAUGGCUGUCGUCAGCUCGUGUCGUGAGAUGUUCGGUUAAGUCCGCUAACGAGCGCAACCCUCGCUGUGUGUUACAAGUGUCACACGGUACUGCCGAUAUUAAGUCGGAGGAAGGUGGGGAUGACGUCAAGUCAGCAUGACCUUUAUAUCCAGGGCUACACACACGCUACAAUGGCCAGUACAAUGGGUUGCCAAGCCGCGAGGCGGAGCCAAUCCUAAAAAGCUGGCCUCAGUUCAGAUUGCAGUCUGCAACUCGACUGCAUGAAGUUGGAGUUGCUAGUAACCGCAGGUCAGCAAUACUGCGGUGAAUACGUUCCCGGGGAUUGUACACACCGCCCGU
This 486-nucleotide ribosomal RNA is filed under the name uncultured bacterium. RNAcentral describes it as "bacterial SSU rRNA". It matches the Rfam family "Bacterial small subunit ribosomal RNA", at positions 899 to 1397 of the family's 1533-position model. The record is from RNAcentral.